GCGUCCGGUUUAGUGGUAGAAUGCUCGCCUGCCACGCGGGUGGCCCGGGUUCGAUUUCCGGCCGAUGCA
Molecule: transfer RNA, 69 nt
Filed under: Haemonchus placei
Lineage: Eukaryota; Metazoa; Nematoda; Chromadorea; Rhabditida; Trichostrongylidae
Rfam family: tRNA
About the family: Transfer RNA (tRNA) molecules are approximately 80 nucleotides in length. Their secondary structure includes four short double-helical elements and three loops (D, anti-codon, and T loops).
Source: Rfam by way of RNAcentral